AGCAGACAUGUUUGCGGAUGGCCUAGUGCGUUGGCUUUGUUGCACGUUUAAGUCUUCACAUCUGCAGAGAAGACACAGUAAAGUAAUCCAUGAUGGAUGCUUCCCGUGGGCCUGUAAAUUCUUGGCUCGGAUGGGGCCAUCUCUGAAGCAAAAACCGAUGUUGUCUUGGCCUUCCAGAUCAUGCCUUCCACAAAUGUUCAUUUUGGGAGCAAUCAAUACUAAUCUUCUGACUUACGCAAAAAUGUCACCAUCCCAGUUACUUACUGUUGCAGCCAAAGUCAAGAAUGAUCUCGUUAGUUGCAAUUUACCUUGAGUAAACUAAUUUGAAUUGGUUGCCUGGCAGAUGUUUUGACAAUCUGCAUGCUUAUCUCAAGAAGUAAUCCAGCUGUUCUGCUUUUCUUCCAGCUGUAAAUUAUUACUUCCACUGUACCAGCUGCUUUAUGGCUCUCUUUCUCAUGGCGAUAGAUCCCCUUCACUUUCUGACUCCACCUGCUAGUUUUGUUAUUCCUGUUUCAUUUUGUAGGGAAGGGAUUAUCUGUUUUUUAAGCUUCCAUUUUAAUUGUUUCCAGUUACAGAAGGAUGACAUAAACCAGUUUUGUUGAUCUCACUUUUGCAUGAACUACUGUUGAAAACUCAGAUAAGGCAGCGGGAAAACUAAAACCAAAAGGAGCUGGGUGGUUGAGAAAGUUUUAAGUUCCAACAGGAGACAUCGUAAUUCCUCAGUGUUCAGAAACCAGGCAGCUGCUGGGAGCGAUGGAUGUUGGGAGGGGCUCUCCAUGCUGAGGUCUGGGUAUGAACCAGGAUGCCAUCCACUCUCCUGCUGUGUAGAAUACCACCAGGGAAUAUGUGUUAGUGGAGAAGCAACAGAGCUUGGUGGUAGGGCACAGGAGUUGCAUGCAGAACGCCUGAGAGAUUCAGGACAGAAAAAGGAUGUACUUCUUCACAGAGCUCAUUGCUAACAUGCUGAGUUCGCUGCCACAAGUCAUAGUGUUGGCAGAUGAUGGCAGUGGGUCACAAGUGAGUUGCAGGCCUAGAGCGAUGCCUCUUGGCCCAUAUGUGUGUGGGAAGCUGUUCUGGACCCACAUGGCUGAUAGCUUUCUUUCUUUCUUUCUUUCUUUCUUUCUUUCUUUCUUUCUUUCGUGGGGGAACUCCUGAUAUCAAGGCAGUUUUGCACAGGUGAAUUCAGGAAAGAUGGUGUUCCUAUUGGCUGCAAAGGCAGCACUUUUCACAGGGUCAUAAAGGACUUCAUGGAGGCGAUUUUGUAAAUGGAGAUGGCACCGGAGUGGCGAGCAUCUACCGGGGUCCCUUCACAGAUGAAAACUUCAAGCUGAAACACUAUUUGCCUGCUGUCCAUGGCAAAUAGUGGCCUCCGCACUAAUGGCUGCCAAUUCUUCAUCACCUGCUCCAAGUGUGGCUGGAUGGCUGGGAAGCAAGUAGUCUUUGGUAAAAUAGCUGAUGGGUUACUUGUCAUGAGAAAAAUUGAAAAUGCGUCCACUGGUCCAAAUAACAAGCCCAGUGGUGAUUGCCCGGUGAAGUGAGAUGUAGAGGAAGGCAACUCUCAAGGUUCGUCUCUUUCCAUCUUGGAUCGCCAUCACCUCCUGAGUGUUCCAUGUUUUUCCUGUGGUGCCUCAUCUACCCCAUGUUCCAAACUAAUAAUCUCUUCCCAUUGUAAGUAAAGGAAUUUAGGUGGUUUUUUUUAAAAAGUCAUAGUGUUGGCCACUAGUUUGGGUGGUUUUAAAAAUAAAUUACACAAAGUCAGAAACGCUCGGGCUGCUAGUCAUGAUGACUAUAUUGCCACCAGGAUCAAAUGCAGCCUGUGGUUCUGAAUACCACUUGCUGGAGAACAACAGUAGAGAGGAUUAUUGCCAUCCUGGAUGUGGGUCUUUCUGAGGCAGCUGGGUGGCCAGUGAGAGAAAGGACGCUGAACCAGGCAGGCCUUUUGUCUGAUCCCGUAGGGCUCUCCUUAUGUUCUUAGAAAUGUCCAGUAGGAAAUUCUUAGCACUGUCAAACUGCAUUUCCCAGGAAUUUUAAGGAGAAGCUGCAUUGGCUAAAUGGGUACAAUAAGUUCAUUGUGUAAAGACUGUAGGCACUAUAUAGCUAUUACGUAUAGCUUCACUGCCUAAAUCUAGAGCUAUGGGCUAGUAAUAAUAUUGUUUCCAAUGCUGUAAUAAAUAAUGCAGCAAAAGCAAAAUCUAGUCAACUACAAAAGAAGCAAAUGAUUAUUUAUUGAAAACCAUGCCUCUCCUUUUAGCUGCAUUAAUUCUUGGUUUGUGAAUGAUGCAUCAGGGAAAACAGAUGGGAGUUUGCAACUUUUUGCAUGGUGGGGGAGACUCCUUUUAAAAUAUGAGGCAAUUCCUGAACCUGGUGCUUAAUCAAUUCGUCUGUUUCCUGGCCAUCUGCUGUGCCUGCAUUUGUCUUGGAAAUGGUAAAUAACACCUGUAAAUACAGUGUUGUUAGUGAAAUAUGCAGUGUCCCCUUGGGGCAGCUUCUAAAUAACCAGAACUGGAUCCUACCAUUUUGAGAAGUGUGUAUUUUCAGUCUGGCAGUUUCUGAAUCAACUCUGUCAUUUAAUUAAAUGGAAUUGUAAUGUUCUGAACCUUGCGUGGAUUGCAGUAUUCCUUAUAAAAUCUGAACUUCCAUUUUCUAUUAAGAAAAGAUACCAGAGCCAGAUAAGAGAAUGCCUUGACCCCCUUCAGAACCAUAUAAAUCUUUGUAGCAUGAAAUACAAACUUUGCAACUGAUUCACUUGUGGAAUGCCAUUAAAUCUUCCUUCCAAAAUAGCUGAGGGGGAACAUUAAAGUGAAUGGAAUGCACUAUUUAAUGCACUAAUUUGAGGCAUGAUAGAAAGGGCUCCUCUUUAUUGGCAAUCUGCAAUACCUCGUUGGUGAAAAGCCAGUUAUUAAACCAUCCCUCUCCACCAAUGUACACCCGUUCCAGUCUCUAUAUACGGUAAGCAGGUGGGGUGUUUUCUGCUCCCAGUCAUCAAGACGAUUACACAAGAAUCUACUAGCAAUGAGUACACAUUAAAGCAGCAUCUUUAAUUUUUAGCUAAGUUAAAAAAAACAACCUUGGAGAAAAGAUUGUCACUUCACUUUGCAUGACCAUUGUGCUGUUCUUUGUUUUGUUGUUUUGCUUUUGCAUUUUGUUAAAGUUUAUCUUUGUCAUCAGGAACAUUGCCACAGGAAAGCAGAGGUGCAGAUCAAUUUGAGAAUGUGAAAGGGAAAAUGUGACUAGUGAAGGCAUUUGUAUAUAUUCCCAUUGCAAAGAUGCUAAGCCACAUCAGACUUCCUCCUAAUUCCAUAAUUCUGGAAAAUAUGUCACAUAUGGGAUGUCAAAGGCAUUCAAGUAAAAUGUGGCCUAGACAAUUUCUGUCAUCUGGGAUUCUUGAGUAUGUGGCUCGGGAUAUCAUCUGCAAAGCUGAAGCAACCAAAUGAAACCAAUUAAAAUUAACAGGCUUACUGGCUUUGAUUCUUCCAUACAGCAAAGCAAGAUACUUGAGCCUUGCAGAUAAGAGCUGCAGUGAGUAAUAAUACAAGACUGACUUUCUGGAGUGUAGCAUUCUGACUCCAAAAGUGGGGCAGUAGAUGUUUCUGGAAAGACACCCCCCCCAGCAUGUCAUGAAGCUGAUAACUGUCCCUUGUUGUUUGUGUAUACCCUGCUGUAUACUGUAUUUGAACAUGGAGAUUCCAUUGAGCUGCUAUGGCCUAUUGGUUGUCCUACCUUCUGUGGCCGUGAUCCAGAUAAAGUUAGUUAUGACCACUGUCUCACUGGAACUGUUGGUUUGAUCUAUCAGGAAUCUUUUUAUGCCAUAGCAUUGGGCAAGUAAUGUUUAUGCUGUGAACUGCCCUGACUUCUACGGAUGAAGGGUGGCAUACAAAUUGAACAGAUAUAUAAAUAACAAUGGAAAAGUUAUGUGGGAGAUGACAAGAACAGGACAUGGAUGAUGCCAGGGACACAAUGUCAAGCUCUUCUACCUCUUCUCUUGGAGGAAUGGCUAGUUCUGAGAGACUGAUAAACCACAAACUUCCGUGAUUGAUUUGUUAGUCUCAAAUGGGUGGUCCACAUUUAGGAAUACAAGUCUGCGAAGCUCAGUUAUGUGAGUGGUGGUGGUGGUUCUCCAGGGUUACAGUUUUUCCUCAUUCGUACCUGGAAAUGCCAGGGAUUGAACUAUGUGCUCUGCCACUGAACCAGAGUCCUAUCCCACAAGAAAAAGAGAGGAACACAAGAUGCUACUUUAUGCUGAGUCCAUCCAUCUAGUGAUGUAAUGUCUACAUGGACUGGCAGUGGUUCUUCAUGGUUUCAGAUUAGUCUUCCCUGCAUGGAGGUGCCGGCGACUAAACUUGGUUCCUCUUGUGUGCAAACCAGGUGUGCAAACCUAGGGAACACAGCCCUUCUGCAGCUUCAGUUAAGAAAUCCUGCCUUAAUGCCCGUCCUCCUGCUUUGUUCAUGCUUUCCUUGUGUACAGUAAGCUUCCUCUGUCAACACUUAGGAUAAUGGCACCAAUGGCAGUAACAAAAAUCUCUUUGCGAUAUCCCAGAGCUAAUGGAGAAGGUCCUGAGAAAUGUCACCGUAAAGUACUUCAGGCACUUGUGAUCCAAGAGUUCAGCCACCUGUCAACACUAUCCCUGCCUCUUCCCAUACAAUGCCUUCACUUUCUUCCUCUUUUGAAAUUCUUUUGAAACAAACUUUUCCAGCUCUGAAUGAGCGCCUUUUGCCAAUAGAGCAAUGUAGGCAUGCAUUAGCACAGCCAAUUAUCAUUAAUCUCCGUAAGGGAUUUGUAGGUUUAUGUAAAGGGAGGGAUAAAGUUUUAAAGUUUCGCUAACCAGCCAUGAAAUACUGGAGGUCUGACUUCAUGCCAGUUGAAAAUGAGGACUUAGCUGAACGGAUCCAGAUGCUGUCAGUUAUAUCAUUGUGUUGUGUGAUACAUGAGACUUGUAAGCAAGUGGAGACGCAAACAACAGCUUCUGAUUGAGAGCUGAUAUUUAGAAGCACUUAUGAUCUGAAAGCUGGAUUGGCCUAAGACAUUUUGCUACCUAAGGUGGAGCAGUGAAUAGCGUCUCUCCCCAACCCACCAAGUCUCAGAGGGUUUAGUAUCCCUGAACAGAAUUGGCUUUAAAGGAAUGUGUUACUUCUGAUUAGUAGAUAACAGAAUCAAAUAGGUUAUGCUUCUUCUAUCUACCUGCACUUCCCAUAUGGCAAGAGAUGCGUGUAGGUCCCCAAAACACAAAGAACUACUGUGGGGCAAGGGAUAAAUAUUUACUAUGAGGUAAAGUAUAUGCUGUGUUCCACAUUUUGUUGCUUUUGCCCAUAAGGAAUUCCUUUUGAAGCCUCGUCCUAUCCUGAUUGGGAAGCAGGGCAGUGAUGAAUGCUGGUGUUGCCACACACCUGCACCUGCCCCCUUAGGCAAUCACUUCGCUUUACCUAACAGUAGGGUUGGUCCACUUUGAAAACUUAUGGAUCAAGAAUGGUACUUUGAAAAGUUGUGGGAAGAAAUAUGUUUACAUAAGAUCUGAACAGUUGAACAUUUAAAAAGGAGAAGCCUCAGACUGCUACAGUUCCACUGCUAAAACUAAGUUGCUAACUAAGAAAUUCUCCACCCAAUGUGGGGAAAAUGCCUCCCUGAGAAUGGGGCUGCAGGUCUUGUAUUUAAUGUGUAACUAAGUGCUCUGUCUGAUCAGAAUUAUCCAGUGAAGGCAACCAAAAGUUCAAACUGAAAUCCAAGUCUAAAGCAAUUUUUAGCAGUCCCAAAGUGCUUUCACUUUUCCACACUGAGGCAUGUUGAGCAGUGAUAAUGUUGUGGGCGCAGCCAGCUUUUGCACUCCAGCAGAGGCGUAGUGUCUGUGGUCGCUGCUUGGGGCUGGGGGCGCUGCUGGGUGGUGCACGGGAGCUCACCACUUCUGUGCUGUGGCCGACUUGAAGCAUUGGGGUUCCA
Podarcis lilfordi (Lilford's wall lizard) is the source of this 5932-nucleotide non-coding RNA. The record is from the annotation of a GenBank genome assembly. NCBI's taxonomy places the organism in Eukaryota, Metazoa, Chordata, Lepidosauria, Squamata, Lacertidae.